UGGGGAAUUUUGGACAAUGGGCGAAAGCCUGAUCCAGCAAUGCCGCGUGUGUGAAGAAGGCCUUCGGGUUGUAAAGCACUUUUGUCCGGAAAGAAAUCCUUGGCUCUAAUACAGUCGGGGGAUGACGGUACCGGAAGAAUAAGCACCGGCUAACUACGUGCCAGCAGCCGCGGUAAUACGUAGGGUGCAAGCGUUAAUCGGAAUUACUGGGCGUAAAGCGUGCGCAGGCGGUUUGCUAAGACCGAUGUGAAAUCCCCGGGCUCAACCUGGGAACUGCAUUGGUGACUGGCAGGCUAGAGUAUGGCAGAGGGGGGUAGAAUUCCACGUGUAGCAGUGAAAUGCGUAGAGAUGUGGAGGAAUACCGAUGGCGAAGGCAGCCCCCUGGGCCAAAUACUGACGCUCAUGCACGAAAGCGUGGGGAGCAAAACAGGAUUAGAUACCCUGGUAGUCCACGCCCUAAAACGAUGUCAACUAGUUGUUGGGGAUUCAUUUCCUUAGUAACGUAGCUAACGCGUGAAGUUGACCGCCUGGGGAGUACGGUCGCAAGAUUAAAACUCAAAGGAAUUGAC
Molecule: ribosomal RNA, 569 nt
Filed under: uncultured bacterium
Lineage: Bacteria
Description: partial 16S ribosomal RNA
Rfam family: Bacterial small subunit ribosomal RNA
Source: RNAcentral